UCGAGAAUCAUUCGCAGUGGGCGAAAGCCUGACGAUGCGACGCUGCGUGAGCGAUGUAGGCCCUCGGGUCGUAAAGCUCUUUCGCCGGGGAACAAGGGAGGAUGGCUAACAUCCAUCUAACUUGAGCGUACCCGGUAAAGAAGCACCGGCUAACUCCGUGCCAGCAGCUGCGGUAAUACGGAGGGUGCAAGCGUUAAUCGGAUUUAUUGGGCGUAAAGGGGGCGUAGGCGGGAAGGCAAGUCAGAUGUGAAAUUCCGGGGCUCAACCUCGGAGCUGCAUUUGAAACUACCUUUCUUGAGGAAAGGCGGAGAAAACGGAAUUCCACAAGUAGCGGUGAAAUGCGUAGAUAUGUGGAAGAACACCUGUGGCGAAAGCGGUUUUCUAGCUUAUUCCUGACGCUGAGGCCCGAAAGCUAGGGGAGCAAACAG
RNAcentral lists this ribosomal RNA (428 nucleotides) under uncultured bacterium. RNAcentral's name for it is "bacterial SSU rRNA". It matches the Rfam family "Bacterial small subunit ribosomal RNA", at positions 355 to 775 of the family's 1533-position model. The record is from RNAcentral.